AUCGUUCACAUCAUAUGUUCUCUAAUUUAAUGAACAGGUUAUUCUGGUUGAUUUCCCCUGUCCUUAUGGAAAAAUCGUGUGCAUUUCACGUGUGAUUGUGUGAGUAAUAUUUAAUCACAUGAGAAAAACGUGGGAAAGUUGAAGUAAACAUCAGGUAAGCACGUGCCGGAAUGUGAACAGAAUCACGUGUGAAAAGAAAUAAGUCAGGUAAAAAAAAAAGCAACACACUUAAGUCCAACUUCGUGUGCAAAAUGUGUGUAAAUAUGUAAAGGUGUCUUCUUAGAGUGCUUAAGUGUUUAGACCUUUUCUUCAGAUCGUAUAGUACGUGCAAAUCUGCCAACGAAGAAUAAUCACAUUUUGUUUGUGUACAGGUGUGUGCAUGAAAUGCAUGCGUGUGUGUGUGUGUGUGUGUGUGACUCAUUCACUUGUUGCCAAAGCAGUUUUUUCUGGAGGAAGUAUAGUGGUAUUGCUAAACCACUGCCUUUCUGCUUCCAAAACAUCAGCUAAGAACCGCAGUUCUGUGAAAGUGUCAAAUCUUUGUUUGACUUGUGUGUAGUGUUGGCCUGUUGUGUAGAUUUUCAAUAUCAAGGUGAUCACCGACCAAUCAAGGUACCUUCAAUGGGGGUCCAAACGUCUAACGCCAGUAGUGAAAAAGUGGGUUUGACAACAUGUCCGCAUCCUUUACAUCUCGCUUUGUAUCAGAGGUCAUUUCACUGGAACUAAAAGGAUCAAACCUGUUCUAGAAUGAGAUUGCCCCAGUGAACAAAGCAAGGUCAAUGAAGGUGGAAGAAGACUUCAACCCCACUGAACAACUUUUGGAUGAACUGGAACACUGACUGCACCUAAGCCUCCUUUCUUGACACCAGUGCCUGACCUCACUAAUGCUCUUGUGGCUGAACGAGGCAAAAAUUCCCACAGCCACGCUCCAAAAACCAGUGGAAAGCCUCCUUAGAUGACUGGAGGUUAUAUCUGCAAAGGGGGACUAAAUCUGGAAUGGGAUGUUCAACAAAGAGUGCAAAAAAGAGAAGUUGAUGAGGGGACGACUGUUUGUAACUGAUAUUACAAGAGUGAAUAAUUACAUGUGAUAACAGGAACUAACUUGCCUUGCAGAUGUUCUAAAUAUAUAUUAUAUUUCACUCUAAAUGGAUCCGAAAAAAAUUGCAAUGUGUCGUUUGUUAAUAAAUUAGAAAAAAACACUUUCAGAUGUGCUGUUAUUAGAAAGUCAGCAACUUUCUAGAACUGUCAUAUUCGCUGUCUCACCACCGUCACUGAUUUCCAGCAUACCCAGUCACGUAUUCUUCCUUACUAAUACAAAGUAAGUUUAUUCAAGUGGAAUUUUCCCCACAGUGGAGGUGAAUAUGUAUAAUUAUGUGUUUUGUGUGCUCUAUAAACUAUUUGUCUGACAUACUGUAGUGUCAGGAUCAGAUCUGAAUGCACUAUAAAAGCAGUCUGAGGAUAUGAAACUGGUUAAAGUGUGAAUCACACUGAGUAGUGAUUCAGAGUCUCAUGACGUGUGGAGGGUUUUAAUCAGGAAAAGUCUCAUUCACAGUUUUACUCCGGAAAGUCUUGUGCAUCUGCUUCCGUCUGAUCUUUCACAUGGUUUCUCAGGAUGUGUGCAUUCAAGUGGAGUUGCAUGUAUUCCAGCUAAUACUAAAAUAGUACAGAAUACUGCAAGAAUCAGAAUAGUUGCUUGUUUGUUCAGUGUCUUUCAAGAAUAGAUCACAUGUCAAUGCACAUUAAUCUUUGGACUGUACUCUUGGGGUGUAAAAAAGUAAUAAAUGAGUGUGGAACAAGGGUCCAGAUCAAUCAUAAACUAGACAAUUGGGAGCCAAAAGCUAAUUUUUUCAAUGUCUUCUGGGUGAAGCAUGGGCAAAGAAAGGCACAAAAUGGCACAAUGGUUUCAAUUUCAUUCUAGCUCAGAAUGCAAUAUGAAUGAAAACAAUGGCAGCAAUUCAUUAAAAAUAAAUUAAUUUGAUGUGGAAUCCUACCCAUGUACUUUAAUUCUUUAAUUCUUAAUCUUAACUGCAGGUCUGUAAUCAGUAGCUAGGUAUAGCUAGUAUCUGAUCUUUAGAUGAUCUUUUCGCACUGCAUAUGCUUAAUCACAGAGCAACAAUAACUAGCAUACAUAACCCACAUAACCUUGAUGUUUAUUAUUGUAAAGUUAUUGAAUAACCUGUACCAUGUCUGGCUAAUGUGCAACCAAAACAAAAACACAUACACGUUUCCAGCAUGCAGCCUGUCCUGCAAGAGCAGAAGAGAAAUGUUUUACCAGUGUUUUAUCAAUGGCUCUUAAUCAUUCCACAUAAAAGCCUGCAAAGCAAUGACUACUGGUUAAACUGUUUCAUAGAAGUGUUUUUCUUCUUCCUAAUUUAUUUAGCUAUAGGUUGAUUACACAGAUUGUAAAUUUAAAAAUAAUUGAACAACACUGUUUAUUAAGAUGGUCAAUAUCUGAUACUGAAGCUAUAGGCCUUCCUACAUGCUGAAGGAGUUAACUGUUAGUUAUUUUUUGUUAUUAUCUUGGCUGUGCACAUUCCACCUCAAACUAAUGCUAUGUUAGCGCCUAGCACAGCUGCACCGCUAAUAAACAACAAACAUCCAGAUGGCAUCUUCAUCAUAGUGGGGGACUUCAAUCAAGUGUAAGCAAAUAUUAAGAAUGCAUACAAGGACAUGGGCCACCUAGGGCAAUCUGAUCAUCUCUCACCCCAGCAUUCAGACUUCUCACCAGCACAUCAUCUUUAAUCUGUUUUCUCCCAUGCACUUGUUUCCAAAUUGUUUAAACCUGCAGUGCCACAAUUUCAAUCCUCACAAAUCCACAGUUGUAUUGGUGCUGAAAAACAUCAAUCUUAAACAGCUUAAAUGACUGUUGCACAACAGCACUCACUCCCAUCAUUAUAAAGAGAGUUUUUCACUCAUCAAAGCCAAAAAGCAAAACCAACAGAUCCAUGGAGUUAGCCAUCUCCAUCACCCUCCACACUGUCCUGACUCACCUGGAGAGUUAUAUCCCAGACUGUAAUUCAUUGACUACAACUCUGCAUUUAAUAUGAUCAUUCUAAGUAGGCUGGACUCCAAAACUGUAUAACAAAUGCCUUAGUGCACACAUUUGUAAUGUUCUGGACUUCUUAUCACUUUGGCCUCAGGCAAUCAGACUUCCUCGGCAGUGUCAGUGAACACUGGUAUACCACAGGGGUGUGUGUUAAGCCCAUUCUUUUCACCAUGACUGUGUGCUUGCACAGGCCACAAACACCAACGAAAACCUUUUAGAUGGCGCAAUGAUAAUCAGGCAGAUCUCUGACAAUUACAAGACAUCAUAGAGAGAGGUAUGCUCAGAAAAUAACCUGACCCUCAACAACAUCUGCACCUAUGGACUUUCGUAUUGUGAUUUCCUGAACCUGGAUUCAUGUGCACACUUGUGUGUCUGUGUGGCUACAUAUUUUUUCUAGUUUUAGAGACCAACACCAAAGAAUGAUGCUGGAAAUAUUAUUAGCGCUGGCACAUUUGGCACGUUGUAACUUUUCUGUCCACUAUUCACUGGCCUUCAUGCAAGGUUUGGUGGCAUAUUAUAGAUCUUGAUUGGUGCUGACUUUAGCCCUUGCAGUUUUCACUAGCUAAUGUGCUAGCACUGGAAUAUUAGCUUAGAAAAACAGCAUGCUAAGGAGAAGUGAGAAGGCCAAUUAUCUGUAUUAAACGUUACUGUCCUGGAGGAUACUGCCUGAUUAAACUUAGAAAACCUUUAAGUUUCACCUUGGAGAACAUAAGUAGUCUUUAAUGAGGAAUAGCCUACUAAUCUACUAUUAUUUUUCAGUCUGUUGAAAACAUUGCUUGAGAGAUUCAUAUUGAAAUGGUACAACAAAAUACACCAAAUAGUUACAAUCCUAAUCUAUAAUCCAAGGAGUUGUUAAACUGUUAUAUUUUUCUCAAUAUUCAAUCUUCAUUAAACAGUGUGCUAACGUUUAUCCUGUCAUUUUGUUUUGGUCAGCAUUAUGCUUCUAAUAAUAUAAGGGAUGGGGUACACUAAAUGACCAAAUGUUUUGGGAUGUCUUUACAUGUACAUGAAUGUAAUAUGGAGUUGGCCCACUCUUUUGCAGCUAUAACAGCUUCAAUUCUUCUGGGAAGGCUUUCCACAAGGUUUAGGACUGUGUUUAUGGGAAAUUUUGACCAUUCUUCUAGAAGCACAUUUGUGAGGUCAGGCACUGAUGUUAGAUGAGAAGUCAUGGCUUGCAGUCUCGACUCUAAUUCAUCCCAGGUGUUCUAUCAGGUUGAGGUCAGGACUCUGUUCAGGACAGUCAAGUUCCUCCACACCAAAGUCGCUCAUCCAUGUCUUUAUGGCGCUUGCUUUGUGCACUGGUGUGCAGUCAUGUUGGAACAGGAAGGGGUCAUCCCCAAACUGUUCUCACAAAGUUGGGAACCAAAAUACCUUGGUAUGCUGAAGCAUUAAAAGUUUCUUUUACUGGAAAACAACACCUUAAUUCAAUGAUUUGUAGGGGUGCCCCAAAACAUAGUGUAUACUCCGUUUUAUGUGUAUCCAUGAAGUUCUGCUGAUUCACAGCUCCAAAUCAUAAGGAUGAGUUGCUGUGUCUGUGGAGUUCUGCAUGUUUUCCACAUGUUUGUAUGAGUUUCUUCUGAAUUCUUGGUUUCCUCCCACCUCCCAUUAACAGGAGGUUUGGUGAGUCUAAAAUGCCUGGAGGUGGGAGUGUGUGUACAUGGUGAACUGUGAUGAACUGGUGUCCCAUCCAGUGUGUAUUCCCAUAAGCAUUCCCACAGUGCUUGCAGGAUAGAUUGUGGUGCGGUUCCCCUUCAAACUUGAGCAGGAUAAUGUGAUUACAGAAAGAUGAAUGAAUGAAACAAGAUUUUCUAUAUGCUCUGUAUUGUUUGACCUUCAGAAGAGCACAGCAAAGAACAUGACUCUUACUGCUACAGCUUGAUGGAAAAUACAGAAUCAUAUUCUGCCUACGCUGAAAGAUCUAAUCCUUCUCAAAGUGUGACAUUUGCUAUGACAUGUCUGCGGUUUCACCACUGGUUCUAACAAAUGCGAACAUACAUAUUGUAUUUUUUGUUUACUUUGGGACUGCAGAUGAUCACAGGAUGACUUCAUUCAAAGGUAAACAAAAAGGAUUGCACCUCAAAGCAAAUUCAUCCAAGUUCAUUUUUUUUUAUUAAGUUUUAUUAAGUAUUUUAUUUUAUCGAGUACAUGAAAUUUGCUAAGUUUGGAAAGAUAAUUGUUAAUAAAAUUAUGCUUUUGAUUUCAGAGAAAAAUCACUCUUGAGCUCUAUAGUGUCUUAAACACAUUUAGUUACAAUACAUGCGAUAAACAUAAAUAAAUAUCAUCUUUAAAUCUAAAAUAAAAGAAGCUAAAAUAAUAUUCAAUAUGUAAACAGAGGGCAAAUAUUGCUUACAAACACAGCACCAUCAUCAUCUGCAGUAGCAAGCACCUCUGACCAUGGAACAACAUGGGAUCUCUGAUUUAAAUGACAACAAGAGUUUUAUUUGACACCAAAUAAAAGGCUUGUUGUCAAAUAAAUCAGGAGAUUCCAUGUGUGUAACAGUCUCGUGAACUGAAUCAGCUAAACAAAAAGGGCACUUGGAAUUUUAUUUCAUUUAAUCAUAUUUCAACGUUAUUUAAAAAAAUGUGUUUCUACUGUUUGACCUAAGGGUAGGAUUACAUUCCUGUUGCUUAUCAUGGAUUUUUUUAAGAUAAGACACUGCCAAAUAAUGAGGUGGAAAAAUCCAGAAUCUGGUUCAACCUGUUUUUGUUUUCCACGAAAAAUAACAGUGACCAACAGUAGAGUGACCAGACGGAAAGUCAUGCUGUGUACAGAAAUCCGUUUGAAAAUGUGUACACAUUAAAAACUGAUCAGAAUAAAAUGUAAAAUAUAUUGCGCAAAUGAAUGCAUUAUUGCCUCAUAUCACUGUGUACCUCUUAAUCUAAUAAACU
Molecule: long non-coding RNA, 5932 nt
Organism: Hemibagrus wyckioides
Lineage: Eukaryota; Metazoa; Chordata; Actinopteri; Siluriformes; Bagridae
Exons: 5
Source: RefSeq, a predicted model, not a curated record